Dreissena polymorpha is the source of this 659-nucleotide long non-coding RNA. RefSeq lists it as uncharacterized. The record is from RefSeq and is a predicted model, not a curated record. The transcript is spliced from 3 exons. Lineage: Eukaryota; Metazoa; Mollusca; Bivalvia; Myida; Dreissenidae.
UUGAGCAGUCUGUCUAGAAAUAGAACAACAACUGAAGUUGAUGGAAGAUACUGCAGAGUUUGGCAGGGAAAUAAUCCAACAGCAAAGCGGCUCUUUAAGCGCAUUUACCUAGAGGACUUACAGGGCUACAAAUUCAUGAGCACAUGUGAGCAGUAUACAAUGUACCUCAUACCAAAAAGGACCCGGAGGCAGUGACUGGUGUUCAAUAUUCUCAGAAGAAAAGGAAAAUGGCAGUGGAAGACUUGGACAAACAUUUUUAGCCUCUGUGUUAAGCCUGGCAGUCUGUGGCUGGUGACAUGUUUUAUUUUGGUAACUUCUUGUAAAAAAAAAGACCAGUUAUUUAUUUUGUGAAUUGUAUUUUGUGUUUGUUUUUUGUCUUAAUUUAUUUGUUGUUUUUUUUAAUUUAGGAAUUUGAAACUUGGAUAAUUGAAUUAAGUCCGUGUUCAACAGUACUGAGCAUAGUAUAAUAAAUAACAAAUUUACAACAGUUGUUAAUUUGUUAUGUAUUAUUAUUAACUAUGCUCAGUACUUGAAUACUGGCUGUCUGCAUGGGAAUUUGUUUUCUAGAAAGUUGGUUUCAGACUUAAAUAUUUGAAGUUAACCUUCGGAACUUUUCUAGAAUUGUACUGGAACACAUCAACUGGAACUGAACUUCUGUU